RNAcentral lists this long non-coding RNA (469 nucleotides) under Capsicum annuum. RNAcentral describes it as "long non-coding RNA (CANN_LNC020581)". The record is from RNAcentral. Lineage: Eukaryota; Viridiplantae; Streptophyta; Magnoliopsida; Solanales; Solanaceae.
UUAAAAUGAAAACAAAAACAAACAAAAUCUACUAUUGAUUAUUCACUAAUCAUGAUACCAUUAAUUAAGGGCAUAAAAUAUAAUAAUCUUGAGGAUAGUUAAAUUUUCUAUAAUUAGGACCAAGCUUAUUAUGACAUGGAGAUGGAUCAGAAGGUGGUACUGGUCCUCUUGGAAGUUGAUUUAAUAACAAUUUCUCAUAAUCCAAUUUCUCCUUCAUAACUCUAAUGCUUUCAACAACUCUAAUUGAAUUCAUAGUUGUAAUUAGUAGAAGAAAUAAUACCAAAUCCUUCAUACGAAGUAUAUUAAUUCGUCGAUUGCACAUCGACAUUUUCUUCUCUAGCAUGCUAUCAAAGAGUCGAUGAUGAACACGAUUCUGAACGAGUGUCUUUCUGUUGAGGUUGCUUCUGAAUGAUUCGAUUUAAGAAAAAAAAAAAAAAACUUGUGGGGGAGAAAAAGAAGAAGAAAGAAU